Long non-coding RNA from Girardinichthys multiradiatus, 679 nucleotides. RefSeq lists it as uncharacterized. The record is from RefSeq and is a predicted model, not a curated record. Lineage: Eukaryota; Metazoa; Chordata; Actinopteri; Cyprinodontiformes; Goodeidae. The transcript is spliced from 5 exons.
CACCACCGUCGCCAUGCAGAUUGUAACCCUGUCGGGCCCCAGAGGGAUGGUCACACAGACUACACUGGAUCAGGGCAGAACAAAACCAGCCAAGAGAAGAAAACUGCUGGGGCCACAUGAGACUGUAAGAAACCCAAAUGUAUUCAGCUUCAAAGAAAAGUGCCUUUCAAAGCAGGGGCAGGUUUAUGGCCAGGCCCGGCAUCUCCUCGUCAGAGUCAUCAGUCGGAGGGUAGAACCGUUUCGCCUUGGCCAAGAAAUCUUCAGCUAUGUCGAGGUACACGAGGCGAUCCUGCAGAGGUGAAGACAGAGAAAGGAUGAACAGAUAUCGUUCAGGUGGCGGCUCCUUGCUGCUGAAGAUGGAGGUCUCGGUGUGCAACGUGUGUAGCAUGGCGCGUGCUGCCGGGGCAUUACGCAUGCGGUCAGCUGAGGCACCAGCAGAUACUGUCAGCAAUCCAAUGCGGGUCAUAUUCCUGGCCUGAAGCAGGGUGUAAAGCGUCCGGUCAUCAUCUCUUUCUGAGUGGCUGCGGUCUCCAGGUUCACUCCACAGACCCGAAAUCUUGGUAAAAGAAAAAAGGAAGACUGAUCUUUGCAUACCUGGCAGACACGACUCCUCCCGCUGCACCAGCAGAAACGUCGUAAGUCACCAAAGUGUUGUCGUCAACCCUCUGGAGGAUCUGAG